This 811-nucleotide ribosomal RNA is filed under the name uncultured archaeon. RNAcentral describes it as "bacterial SSU rRNA". It matches the Rfam family "Archaeal small subunit ribosomal RNA", at positions 85 to 879 of the family's 1478-position model. The record is from RNAcentral.
ACUGCUCAGUAACACGUGGCUAACCUGCCCUUGGGACCAGAAUACCCCCGGGAAACUGGGGCUAAUUCUCGAUAGGUGAAGAACUCUGGAAUGAGUCUUCGCUUAAAAGAGGCUGGGGUUAUGCUCUCCAGUUUCGCCCAAGGAUGGGGCCGCGACCGAUCAGGUUGUUGGUGAGGUAAUGGCUCACCAAGCCUUUUACCGGUGCGGGCCGUGAGAGCGGGAGCCCGGAGAUGGGCACUGAGACAAGGGCCCAGGCCCUACGGGGCGCAGCAGUCGCGAAAACUUUGCAAUAAGCGAAAGCUUGACAGGGCUAUCCCGAGUGCCAUCCGCUGAGGAAGGCUUUUACCCAGUCUAGAACGCUGGGGGAAUAAGGAGAGGGCAAGUCUGGUGUCAGCCGCCGCGGUAAUACCAGCUCUCCGAGUGGUGUGGAUGUUUAUUGGGCCUAAAGCAUCCGUAGCUGGCUAGGUUAGUCCCCUGUUAAAUCCACCGAAUUAAUCGUUGGAUUGCGGGGGAUACUGCUUGGCUAGGGGACGAGAGAGGCAGACGGUAUUUCCGGGGUAGGGGUGAAAUCCUAUAAUCCCGGGAAGACCACCAGUGGCGAAGGCUGUCUGCUAGAACGCGCCCGACGGUGAGGGAUGAAAGCUGGGGGAGCGAACCGGAUUAGAUACCCGGGUAGUCCCAGCUGUAAACGAUGCAGACUAGGUGUUUGGACGGCCACGUGCCGUUCUAGUGCCGCAGGGAAGCUGUUAAGUCUGCCGCCUGGGGAGUACGAUCGCAAGAUUGAAACUUAAAGGAAUUGGCGGGGGAGCAC